AAAAGCAUUUCUUUCCCUUAAACUAAUCGAUACAAUCAUGGAGACAAAUCCUACAACUAACUCCCAACUCUUCUCGUUGUUUUCUUCAGUUUUUUAUGACGCGGAAGAGGGUUCUGUUUUAUUACCAACGAAAGCGAAGCUUUGAGACAAGAAAAUGUGGUUUGUUCUGUCAGGGUCCAAACUAGGACAUGUUCUUUUCUUUGGUUUUCUGGCUUUGAAAUGCUUCGAAGAUUUUGGGUCCAAUGCUCAACUCAUACCACAAGAUGAAGUGAAAGUUCUACAAGCAAUAUCGGAUAAACUAAAGAACUUGAACUGGAAAGUCACAGAGCGUUCCUGCACAGAGGAUGGAAGCUUUAAUGGCCAGGUUUAUGUAGAUGAUGAUAUUGUCAGGAAUGUCACAUGCAAUUGCACCUUCCAAAGAAACACUGUUUGCCAUGUUGAUAACAUCACUCUCAAAGGUCAAAAUAUAUCCGGAGUUAUACCCAGUGAAUUUGGAAAUCUUACUCAACUAAAAGUACUUGAUCUCUCUCGCAACUUUCUCAAUGGCUCACUGCCAACGAAUUUUGGUCGCAACUCGCUGGUUAUUCUGUCCCUUGUGGGAAACCGACUAAGUGGCCCAAUUCCCGUAGAAAUUGGUGACAUAGCUAGUCUGGAGGAACUGGUCUUAGAAAGUAAUCAACUCGAAGGAUCACUUCCGCCCAAUCUUGGAAAUUUGAGCAAGUUGAGGAGACUGCUUCUUUCUGCAAAUAAUUUUACUGGGACCAUACCAGAAACAUUUGGCAAACUAAAGAAUCUCACUGAUUUUAGGAUAGAUGGAAACAGUUUAACCGGAUCAAUACCCAGUUUUAUUGGGAACUGGACCAAACUUGACAGAUUGGAUAUGCGGGGAACAUCUAUGGAAGGCCCGAUUCCUCCCACUAUAUCACAGUUGAAACUUUUGACUGAAUUGAGAAUCACUGAUUUGAAUGGACCAACAACUAUGGCAUUUCCUGAUCUGAUGGAUUUGAAAAUCUUGGAACGAUUGGAAUUGAGAAAUUGCUUAAUCACUGGUCUUAUUCCGGAUUACAUUGGUGAAAUGUCUAAGUUAAAAACUUUAGACCUAAGCUUCAAUAUGUUGACUGGUCCAAUCCCAAAUUCAAUUCAGGGAUUGAAAAGCCUAAAUUAUAUGUUUCUGACUAAUAAUUCUCUGAGCGGACCAAUUCAAGACUGGAUACUGAACUUCAAAAUUAAUAUAGAUUUAUCUUACAACAAUUUUACAAAAUCUUCUGCACCUAACUGCCAGAUCUUGAAUCUGAACUUGGCUUCAAGCCACUCUUCUUCAGCAGUCACUUCGCCUUCAACUUUUUGUUUGAAGAGGAACCUACCUUGUGCUGGAAAACCCCAGUACAAGUCAUUGUUCAUAAACUGCGGAGGAAAUGAGGGAGUGUUUGAAGGCAACAACUAUUUUGGUGACCUCCAGCAAGAUGGCAUUUCAAACUUUCUUCUUAGAAAUGAAAAACAAUGGGCUUAUAGCAGCACGGGAGUAUAUGUGGGAAAUGCUAAUGCAGAUUAUAUAGCAGAAAAUACAUUUUCUUUGAACAUUAGUGGUCCAGAAUACUACCAAACUGCACGCCUUUCCCCUCUGUCACUAAACUACUAUGGCCUUUGUAUGCCAAAUGGUAAUUAUAAAGUGAAGCUCCAUUUUGCUGAGAUAAUGUUUUCUGAUGACCAGAAUUUUAGCAGUGUAGGAAGGCGCAUAUUUGAUGUUUCAGUUCAAGGUUAUAGAUAUUUGAAAGAUUUUAACAUUGUGGAAAAAGCUGGAGCAGUUGGAAAGGGCAUCACUGAGGAAUUUGAUGUUGAAGUUGAUGAUGGAACCUUGCAAAUCCACUUAUACUGGGCAGGGAAAGGAACUACUGCCAUUCCUGACAGAAGUGUAUAUGGACCUCUUGUAUCUGCAAUCGAGAUGAUACCAAACUUUGAAAAUCCUUCAAAAGGCCUGUCUGCUGGAGCUAUUGUUGGAAUUGUGGCUGCAUCAUGUGUUCUUGUUAUAUUGGUAUUGGUUGCCCUUUGGAAGAUGGGUUUCCUUGGUGGGAAAAAUACAACAGAUAAAGACCUUCUAGAUCUUAAAACAGGUUAUUUCAGCUUAAGACAAAUUAAAGCAGCCACGAAUAACUUUGACUCUGCAAAUAAGAUAGGUGAAGGGGGAUUUGGGCCUGUAUAUAAGGGUGUGCUGUCAGAUGGUGAUGUAAUUGCUGUUAAGCAGCUCUCCUCCAAAUCAAAGCAAGGGAAUCGUGAAUUUGUCAAUGAAAUUGGAAUGAUAUCUGCUUUGCAGCAUCCAAAUCUGGUGAAGCUUUAUGGCUGUUGCAUUGAAGGAAACCAGUUGCUGCUAAUAUAUGAAUACAUGGAGAACAACAGUCUCGCUCGUGCACUUUUUGGUAAAGAAGAACAAAAGCUGCACUUGGACUGGCCCACAAGAAUGAAGAUCUGUGUGGGGAUAGCAAGGGGAUUGGCUUAUCUUCAUGAGGAAUCAAGGUUGAAAAUAGUACAUAGGGACAUUAAGGCAACCAAUGUCUUACUUGACAAGGAUCUGAAUGCCAAGAUCUCUGACUUUGGUUUAGCUAAGCUUGAUGAAGAAGAAAAUACCCAUAUCAGCACCCGGGUAGCUGGAACAAUGUUAGCACUGUACCACAUCUAUUAGCUUGAACUCAAUACUCAGUUCAUACUUUGUUGAUAUUUUAUUCAUUGCAUAAACAACCGAGACAUAGUUACCAUACACAAUAGUGGUUAUAUGGCUCCCGAAUACGCUAUGCGAGGUUACUUGACUGAUAAAGCAGAUGUAUAUAGCUUUGGAGUUGUAGCUCUAGAGAUAGUUAGUGGAAAAAGCAACACAAAUUACAGGCCAAAGGAGGAGUUUGUAUAUCUUCUGGAUUGGGCCUAUGUUCUCCAAGAGCAGGGAAACCUUCUGGAGUUGGUGGAUCCAAGUCUUGGUUCAAAGUUCUCCCCAGAAGAGGCCAUGAGAAUGCUGAGCUUGGCACUCCUAUGCACCAAUCCAUCCCCCACUCUUAGACCACCCAUGUCAUCUGUAGUUAGCAUGCUUGAAGGAAAAACCCCAAUCCAAGCACCGAUAAUCAGGCUCGGUGAAAGCAGCCAUGAUGCAAGAUUUAAAGCCUUUGAGUUCCUAUCACAAGACAGCCAAACUUUUGUUUCUUCUGCAUACUCACAAGAAAGCAUGGAGCAAAGACACAAAUCAGCAGAUGGGCCAUGGGUUGAUUCCUCCAUAUCUCUUCAAAGUAGAGAUGAUCAUUCUUUAAUUAAUAAUGUUUAAUGAGAUUCACAUGAUGAGUGACAUUUUCAAAAGUUAGAGAGAUAUUAAAGUGCAUGGUGAGACCCUGACUGUGCAAAGUGCUGAUCUAUAAUAUAUAAAAUGUACAAAGGAAAAGGCAUUGAAGCAUUGGAGGAGGUAUCAAAGUGCAUGGAACAAUUUCACAUGUUUGUUGUUACUGUAAGUUGUGGUUUUUAAAUACACUUAUUUCAUGUGAUUGUUCUCAUAAAGAUUUUAGCGUAAUUUUAG
RNA transcript from Abrus precatorius (Indian licorice), 3550 nucleotides. It is a transcript of the gene named probable LRR receptor-like serine/threonine-protein kinase At1g53430, with no coding region annotated. NCBI's taxonomy places the organism in Eukaryota, Viridiplantae, Streptophyta, Magnoliopsida, Fabales, Fabaceae. The transcript is spliced from 24 exons. The record is from RefSeq and is a predicted model, not a curated record.